GAUGAACGCUGGCGGCGUGCCUAAUACAUGCAAGUCGAGCGAACAGAUGAGGAGCUUGCUCCUCUGACGUUAGCGGCGGACGGGUGAGUAACACGUGGAUAACCUACCUAUAAGACUGGGAUAACUUCGGGAAACCGGAGCUAAUACCGGAUAAUAUAUUGAACCGCAUGGUUCAAUAGUGAAAGACGGUUUUGCUGUCACUUAUAGAUGGAUCCGCGCCGCAUUAGCUAGUUGGUAAGGUAACGGCUUACCAAGGCAACGAUGCGUAGCCGACCUGAGAGGGUGCUCGGCCACACUGGAACUGAGACACGUUCCAGACUCCUACGGGAGGCAGCAGUAGGGAAUCUUCCGCGAUGGGCGAAAGCCUGACGGAGCAACGCCGCGUGAGGGAUGAAGGUCUUCGGAUCGUAAAACUCUGUUAUUAGGGAAGAACAAAUGUGUAAGUAACUAUGCACGUCUUGACGGUACCUAAUCAGAAAGCCACGGCUAACUACGUG
This 497-nucleotide ribosomal RNA is filed under the name uncultured bacterium. RNAcentral's name for it is "partial 16S ribosomal RNA". It matches the Rfam family "Bacterial small subunit ribosomal RNA", at positions 28 to 507 of the family's 1533-position model. The record is from RNAcentral.